RNAcentral lists this ribosomal RNA (424 nucleotides) under Fusobacteriota bacterium. RNAcentral describes it as "Fusobacteria bacterium partial 16S ribosomal RNA". It matches the Rfam family "Bacterial small subunit ribosomal RNA", at positions 355 to 776 of the family's 1533-position model. The record is from RNAcentral. Lineage: Bacteria; Fusobacteriati; Fusobacteriota.
UGAGGAAUAUUGGUCAAUGGUCGAGAGACUGAACCAGCCAAGUCGCGUGAAGGAUGACUGCCCUAUGGGUUGUAAACUUCUUUUACAAGGGAAUAAAAUGAGAUACGUGUAUUUUAUUGCAUGUACCUUGGGAAUAAGCAUCGGCUAACUCCGUGCCAGCAGCCGCGGUAAUACGUAGGGCGCGAGCGUUGUCCGGAAUUAUUGGGCGUAAAGGGCUCGUAGGCGGUUUGUCGCGUCUGCUGUGAAAGACCGGGGCUUAACUCCGGGGUUGCAGUGGGUACGGGCAGACUAGAGUGCGGUAGGGGUAGCUGGAAUUCCUGGUGUAGCGGUGGAAUGCGCAGAUAUCAGGAGGAACACCGAUGGCGAAGGCAGGUUACUGGGCCGUUACUGACGCUGAGGAGCGAAAGCAUGGGGAGCGAACAGG